Esox lucius (northern pike) is the source of this 9344-nucleotide long non-coding RNA. The record is from Ensembl. NCBI's taxonomy places the organism in Eukaryota, Metazoa, Chordata, Actinopteri, Esociformes, Esocidae.
GAAAACCCCUGCUAGAGAGCCUCCCCAACCGCCACUCCCAUGACAUUCCCUGCCUCGUGGUGUGGCAGGCCGGGCCUGCUCAGAUAUAUGGGGCAGUCCGGUGUCAGGCUUUCAACCUGAAAGGGUUUUUGGGCUUAGCUGUUUGCAACGUGGUCAGGGUCGAGGCAGUAACCCGGCACCCGGUACUGGACCACCAUGACGCUGGUCUCACACACCUCGGACACGCUGGACAUUACCAACGCCGGCCGGGGCCGGCUUCAGCAGCCGCAGACGGUAGCCUUGUGGGUGGCGGCGUCGUUGAGCUCUUCGUCAAGCUACGCCAGAGGAAGGAGCUCGGUGGUGGAUAGAAAACGCCUGAUAUGACUUGCGGGAGUCAAUCAAACCUCUCGUGCACCUGUGACCUACAAGACAUGGGAAAAAAUCUCCCGGCGGAAGAUAUUACAUGAGGACACACUGGGAUCUGCUAAUGCACUGGAGGAAAGAACGGAAGGCAGAACAUGGAAGAAGAGCUCAAGAAAACAGAUUUCCUAGAAAUGUGUCAUUACCGUAUAUUCACAGAGCUGAUGCUGAUAACUUGAUGGAUGGACACAGUUUUGGUGUGACCUAAAAUUAUGUUUUCUGUUUGUAUGCUGAUUAAUGCCUAAUGACCAGAAAACAUUUCUAAGAGUCAGUAUGUCCUAUCAUUGUACCAAAGGUGCUGGUGUGGAAAAGCUGUUUAUUUCUUUGAUAACAAUAGCACCCACAUGUAACUUCUGCUGUCCUUCAGAAAUGUCUAAAUUAUUUCCGUCCAGUUCGACAUUGUCCUUUCAUGCCCACCUGUUAAACAGUUGUUGCUGUUGACACACAGUGGAUCCUCAUGUUUCUGUGGGUGAAAUAGAAGUGUGACUGUAGUUCUGUGUGUUAGUUAUAACAGGCGGUAGGGUUGUCUGACUGUAGUUCAGUGUGUUAGUUUUAACAGGCGGUAGGGUUGUCUGACUGUAGUUCAGUGUGUUAGUUAUAACAGGCUGUAGGGUUGUCUGACUGUAGUUCAGUGUGUUAGUUAUAACAGGCGGUAGGGUUGUCUGACUGUAGUUCAGUGUGUUCGUUAUAACAGGCGGUAGGGUUGUCUGCCUGUAGUUCAGUGUUUUCAUUAUAACAGGCGGUAGGGUUGUCUGACUGUAGUUCAGUGUUUGUUAUAACAGGCGGUAGAUUUUUCUGACUGUAGUUCAGUGUGUUAGUAAUAACAGGCGGUAGGGUUGUCUGACUGUAGUUCAGUGUGUUCAUUAUAACAGGCGGUAGGGUUGUCUGACUGUAGUUCAGUGUGUUAGUUUUAACAGGCGGUAGGGUUGUCUGACUGUAGUUCAGUGUGUUAGUUAUAACAGGCUGUAGGGUUGUCUGACUGUAGUUCAGUGUGUUAGUUAUAACAGGCUGUAGGGUUGUCUGACUGUAGUUCAGUGUGUUAGUUAUAACAGGCUGUAGGGUUGUCUGACUGUAGUUCAGUGUGUUCGUUAUAACAGACUGUAGGGUUGUCUGACUGUAGUUCAGUGUGUUAGUAAAAACAGGCGGUAGGGUUGUCUGACUGUAGUUCAGUGUGUUAGUUAUAACAGGCGGUAGGGUUGUCUGACUGUAGUUCAGUGUGUUCAUUAUAACAGGCGGUAGGGUUGUCUGACUGUAGUUCAGUGUGUUCGUUAUAACAGGCGGUAGGGUUGUCUGACUGUAGUUCAGUGUGUUUGUUAUAACAGGCGGUAGAUUUUUCUGACUGUAGUUCAGUGUGUUCGUUAUAACAGGCGGUAGGGUUGUCUGACUGUAGUUCAGUGUGUUUGUUAUAACAGGCAGUAGAUUUUUCUGACUGUAGUUCAGUGUGUUCGUUAUAACAGGCUGUAGGGUUGUCCGCACUGCCUGUGUUACUUUACCAUAUAAUAAACUGGAUGAUGGAUAAAAGCAGGUUCAACUUGUUUUGUUUAUUUUGAUGGAUAGUAAUGCAAUAGAGUAAUGCUGCAAAUGUGUUCAAACCAGGAAUAACAGACUGCUACCAACCUGCAUAAAGAGGUAUACUUUAUACCAAACCCUGGAAAAACAAGUUUUCCAAAAUAAAUGUUUUGACUACGGAUGACACGUUAAACACAUUCCAAACAACCACUCAAUCAUUUCCACAUUGACGAAGGAUCUGGAUUCAGCAUAAUGAAAUCAAAAACAGACCCCUUCAUCAAAAAGCUCUGUGAGCUGUGAGGUGAUCUGAUGGGGUUGACCCCUCACCCCCUCCCAACAGGGGCCGGAUGGGGAGGGGGCCGGGGGAGAUCACACGACGGCCCUGUUCUGGCUCCAUGUCCACACAGACUGGCCUGUUCAGAGAGCUUCAUUUUGAAGAGAGCGCCAGGUGGCAGCGAUGUGGGCAGCAGGCUUUUGAAGCUGACCUCUGGUCCCAAGCCUGGGAUGACCCUAGUCAUUGAUCCUGGCGGGGGAGGGGGGGCAGGUGUUCCUUGCAGGGAUGGGCACGGAGGACAGUAGUCAGGUCCAGACCGCUCCAAGUCACGUCGCCAGCCCGAGCACAAGGUUUUAACUGGCUGUCAUGUUGUGGACCAGGUGAUGUGCUGGGAGCUCUCGGUUUCAAUCCGUAUUGACUGAUUUCUGAAAAAGGAGCAACACCCCCGCUUUAAACAUUUAAAAACAAUGUGCCUGCAUUGGCCAAAACCACGUUCACUGUAACCUUUACGUCAGCUCAUUCUGUACGUACUGAGAAGCCGGCGCAGAACGUCUGAGAUACAGACUGAAUCGACCACAUACAGCUCACCAGCAAUGUAUCGCUGAUAUGUGGACAGUUUGACUGGAGGCCCUUUUGACUGAAAUUAGGUGAUUGACUGAGGUAAAGGAACAUGGUGACCAGUGGUGACUCACUCCCCAACCAGGUGAUUCCCUAACCAGGUGACUCCCUAACCAGGUGACUACCUAACCAGGUGACUACCUAACCAGGUUAUAGUGGAAAACACAGACAUAAGUGCUAUGUGAGAGAGCAGAAUGCUUCAUUUUUUUCUCAGGUGUUGUAAUGUUGCGCUGUACGAUCCCAAUUCGCCCUGUUUGCCAGCGGCAGAAAUGAAAUGAUGCAGCCGAAGGAAAUCAGAAUCAUUAUGUGCAUUAUAAUUGAUGGACGUUUUUGUAGAAGUUGAUGCAUUUUUCAUGAGGGAAAAUUAAGUCAGAAAUAUCAAAGUGGAAGUUACUACCAUCAGAAGCCUUUUAACCCUCCAAUGUUCACAGAGAAAUGUUCUUGGAUUGCAGGGUGAUCAGAUUAAGAUCCUAAACCUGUAACAAUAUCUGGCAUUAAAAUAAUGAGGAAAAAACAAACACGUUCUUUUGAGUGUGAUUUUCGGGGGUGUGGUGUUAAAUCUUCAUUUGACUCGAGUGUUUAAAUAAAAAAAUUAUAAUAUAUGCCUGGAAUAAAUGAGCACUAAAAGCCAAUGAGAAAUUGUCGUUUCAAAUGUGCGCGCUCCCACACACCCAUGCUUCAUGUUUUAGUGUUGGAGUGGCGCAGCCUGGUUCUCAUUCAUAAGGAGCUGACGUGCUUCAGAGUACACGGAAGAAGAAAAUACCAGGGCAGUGUGUGUGUAUCUGGGCCAGGCUUAGAGGAGGUUGGUGUUAUCAGUAUCUAAGCACAGUACCUCAUGAUGUUGUUUGCACAGACACACACACACACACACACACACACACACACACACACACAGAAACACAAAUAAGCACGCUCGCACACACACAGCCAAAAGACAGGGACUCUAAUCCUGACACUCCUCCCUGGGGCUGGAUGUCAAAGCAGGGCACUCAGAAAGAGGAGGGAAGAAAAAAAAAGUUGUGUCAGAUUCCGACAGCAGCCAAUUGGAGAGAAGUGCUUUAUACUUGGUUCCCCUGGCGUUCAUCAUCUCCCAGUCCGUAUCAUAGGCUCUAACCACUAGCCCACAAACAGCCCAGCCCAAAGACACAACCCAGGGAGGAUUGGUGGAGAUGCAACGAGAGAAGGGAUGGAAAGAUGGAAGGAGAGAUGGAAGGAGGUGGGUGGAGAGGUGGAUGGAGAGAGGGAUGGAGGUGGAAGGAGAAAUGGGUGGAGAAAUAGGAAGGAGAGAGCACUGAGAGAUGCAAGGAGAGAUGGGUGGUGAGGUGGAAGGAGAGAGGGAUGGAGAGAGGGAUGGAUGGAGGGAUGGAGGGAGAGAGGGAAGGAGAACAGGUGGGGGAAAACAGCAGCCAUGCAUGGUGAGUUAUUAUUAAUAAAGCAUUAUAAACGUGAGUACAUCAAAGCUUGCAGGGCCCAUGCUAUCACACAUGAAAGUAACAUACUAUGGCUUAAUGUCUCCUAAGGCGUGUUAUGGUGACGCCGCUUCCAUUUCAAAUGCAUUGUGUGGCGAAUGGAUUCGUGUGAGUGGAGAGAGGAACGUGGCACGGGUGCAGACGGUAAUUUAAAACCUGACCUCAUAGGCUCUUCAAAGCCUCAGUGGAGGAGGAUGUUUAGUGCUUACUGAUGUAGGAGAGCCGAGAUGCAACAAACAGCAGCAUACGUGUGUCCUGGCCAGGGACCAGGCCACACAACACACUCCCAAUGCUCAGGCAACGACAGGCGGAUUUCACAAAUAUUUCUUUAUUCGUUCAUUUUGCUCCAGUUAUCAAAUCACAUAGCACAUUCAACGAUCAGGAAAAAUAUCAACUUGAUGUUAUAAUUUUCUCUUUUUCUGCCACACAAACCGUGAAUCCUGAGUUUGGCAGCGUUGCGGUAAUGGAGACGGCUGCGAGGUAAGCCCCCCCCCCCCCGACACCAGGUAAUUAUCCUAAUCUAGCCUCCUCCUCUGCUCCUGCGCUCCUCCACCACACCAUGCGGCUUUGGACCACCUCCAUGGCUUCAUUAUGAACACUGGGAGUGACUAAUGGCUUGGCUCUGUCGGAGCUGGAGGAGAGGCAGCUGAGGAGAGAUGGAGGGACCGAAGGGGGGGCGGGGUAGAUACAGCACUGAAGGUUAACAUCUCAAUCACUCAGGACAAUACUGGCAGUCUGUCAGCUUUUCAGACGUCACCCUGAAAAGGAACGUGAAUCACAUCACAGAGUCAGUGAAGUGAAGAGGACCCUUCGGAGUGUGUGUUUUGAGUGGGUUUUUAUGUGUGUGUUUUAGGGUGUGUCUUCUACUAUCCUGGGAGGGACCAAAUUCCCCAUUGAUAAAAACAAGGAAAAUCUGACCUUGUAGGGAGAUUUUGUCCAUACCAGGAAUUGCAUGUUUUAUUUUCGUGGGUAAGGUUUCGUGUAGAGGGAUUAAGUUUAGGUUUAAUGGGUUAGGGCAGAAAUAAUUUGGAAUGGGGAUCAUUAGUGUGUGUGUGUGUGUGUGUGUGUGUGUGUGUGUGUGUGUGUGUGUGUGUGUGGGGGAUAGACCAGCUAUGGAAUCGGUGUGGUUCGAGAGACAGGUCCUGUAAUCAGACGGGUCGACACAUGCACGACAACAUUGAAAGCCUCCCUGUCUCUUGGAAACAGGCGUUUAAUGUACAGAAGGACUGGGGGUGGUAACUCUGCUCCACUUCUUUGCUUUCCCUUUUUUUUUUUGACAAAGUGACACCCUUGAUGGUUAGAAAAAUGUUUGGGUCCCUGAACAGAUUUCUUCAAUCCGAAAAUAAAACGUGUGACAUCAAGACAAAAAGACAGACAUUUUCAAACCUACAUAUGAACCCCUAAAGAGAGCAGUGACAACUGGCACCCCUCCCCCGUCCCUUCUGUGUCAGCACUGUUUUUCCUCUCCACAAUUCGUCAUAUAAUCUAACUGUGACAUAUAGAUAUAUAGAUAUAUAGAUAGAUAGAUAUCACCAAGUGAUUGAGGAAACGCUUUGAGAUAUUCUGAGCUAAAUGCCGUGUAAACACACUGGCGGUUGUUCACCUCUGAGGUGAGAUCCGGGUGGCGCCCGGUCAUUGUUGGCCCAAAACACGGCGAUAAGGUGGAGAGGUAAUAAACAGCCAGAGUCAAUACACCCCACUGGGCCGCGUGGCCUCAAACAAACAAGACCAAUUGCUCUAGCAGGCCCCGGAAACUAGUUGGAAACAUCAAUUACAGUAAAUUACACCAAAACAAUGGGAAACACUUGCAUUUGUUUAAUCUCCUGAGCUGUUCUGGGUGAAAGCAAGGGGUGUUGGAGUAACAUAACGCAGCUCAAAGACAUUACCCAGUCCACCCCCUUAAUGUUUGUACAUACAGCAGAGAGUGGGUUAUUUAUAUUAAGCUCCCCAGGACGUACUAGAAAAGCCUUAUUUCUCUGUAAGCAUCAACUUCAAAUAAUGUUUUCAAAGUGCAGCGCACUUCAUGGAUGUAGUUGGAUUCCAAAAAGGAGGCCUGUGUGGGCGUCCCGUGACCCUGAAAAUGCAUGGCAGCUGCAGGCGUCCGGAGUUUCAUAUCAGUGAAAGUAGCCAAAGCUUCCCUGUAACACACAGGGCAUUAUGUGUUUGUGCAGGGAAGAAAAACACACAUCAUGAAACAGGGCGGACAGGGAACAGAAAUCUGGCCUACCGUUUUUGUUCUUGAGUUCCUCAUACCAGCCCAGUUUUCCAAUAGACUAAUAAAGGAAGAGAAAAUGGAGCAUCUCCCCUGUAAUGCCAGAUGGCUGGUCGGCCGCAGUCAUGCAAUAACAAAAGAAUUGUAUGUCACAGUUCUGGGAUAGAGGCCUCUAAAUUCUCGCUUUGGUCGACUUUAAAUAGGAGAUAAGACAAUGGACCAAAUCCUGACUGUGCUUGCCCUCAUUCUCUCUGCGCAGAAAACACACAACGGCCUGUCUACUAAAUUGUAGCUCUUUCCUAGCAACUCAAACAGUAACUAUACACCAAAACAAAAAGCGCAAAAACUUCAACCAAACACUGUAAUGUUUCAAUGAGCCGCUCAGCCAUGGUUGAUUAUCCAGGGAGGGUGUUAGCUGGAUGCAGGGGACAGACAGAUGAAGAUUUGGCCGUUCCAGAAAGCCUUUCAGAAGGGUUUGGAGUAAAUGAAAGACAAAUGCCAGUAGUGACCACUCAGCUAUUUUCCCAGUCAAGAUCAAAGGCUCCGGCGGACCGGCCUCUCCGCGGGAAACUUGAAAUAGGCCCUGCCUUUGUUUGCUGUUGCUAGGAGACCUGCAGACAGCGGAAAGUGUUUGCAGUGCAUGGAGAACAAGAUCAAAAACCUUUCCAAUAUAAAUGUCUUAGACCGCCAUGGAUCCUGGGCCUGGGCUUGCAAUUUACAGAAGGCACACGAAAACAUUAGAGAAAUAAUGAUUUCUCUGUGUGUUGGCCAUUGACUGAACUGAAGAUUUUCUUGUUGGCAAAAUAGGUAGUUUAAUAGUGACAGGUUUGGAUGUGUCCAGGCACUGGCACAGAUUACAGCACCACACUGCAUCGUUUGAAUGGGUAAAAACAAAACACCUACAUUGUGUAUAUUGGUUAGCAGUCAAAUUCUCUUUCUCCCAAUCUACCUCUCUCUCACACACCCACACAUACACAAACACACACAUUCCCUCACCGACAAACAGUUUACCAAUACGGCCCACAUCCAGUUUGAUAUUUAUAGGGCUGUGGUUCACCUAAGCCACAAUGCUAAUUAUCUUUUAAUGGGUCUCGUGAUAGUCGGGUUGCCUGCUUGUGCGUGGGUGCGAAUCAGCUAUUAGUAGGUCAACAGACACACAACAGAGAUGUCCAAACCAGCUAGAAAACACACAGGAGACUACUGAUAUUUACAAGACUGUAAUUCAGAAAGAAGAAAUAUAUAGAUGGCUGUGCAGGCUUGUACUGCGCUCUGAGAGUGUAGUACAGUGCCCAUCGUCUGGUCUGUCUCCUGACUACCCAAGUACAAUGUCACUUGAUGUCUCAGUAAAUAUUUAGGUCUUUGUUUAAUAAUAACAGGCGUGUGUUAUAGGCAUAGCGACCCGCUCAGUGAUGAAUAAACAGUCCCAGUGAGCCAGGCCUGGCAAAUCUUCUCAUCCUGAAUUACAUAACAUCAUUUGGAGGCAAAUACAUGGCCUUGUUUAACCUAUGUGUCUGGAAAACUAAGGAGUCUCCUCUCUGAUCUUCCAGUUAGGAAAGGUAGCCUACAUAUUGUACGUAAUGAAUAUCUUGUGCAUAAUGCAAAACAUGUUGUGAGAGAAACUAUUUAAACAACAUUAACAUUGUGUGUACAGUUUUGUCAACCUCAGUAACUGCAGGGAGUAUCUAUCAGAAGAGUGUCCCGUGUUACCUCGGAAGGUUGCGUCCGACAUUUGACAUUUUCACCAGUUUACACUAUAAAAUACAGUAACUCUGAUGCAAAUCAAGCAACAAGGCUCAAAGUUACAGUUGCAUGUACCAUAUAAGGAGGUUCAGUUGAAGCCAUGUAAACACAUGCAUAUCCAGUAUAAGGAGUUUCUAUAGAAGCCAAUUAAACACAUGCAUGUGAAUUUGUUUCUAACAUGUCAGGCAGACAUGUAUUACUGCUCACACAAUUUGUCUGUAUUGCAUAUUUGUAAAAAAUAAAAAUAAAUAACGAGGUCUUUCUGACUUCUUAGCUUGCUUUGAGGAUUUCUUUUUUUCUGUCUUUUUCUGAUUAUAUUCAAAUGUUCACAUUUGUCAUUUAGCAGGAUGUAGAAGGAAAUACUGUGCAUUGGUUUAUUUAUUUGGCCUAAAAUGUUGAUAAACGAUGACUUAUUUACAUUAUCAGCACAGCAAUGAAACCAUGUCGGUCGGAUUAAUGCUUAUGUCCCAAAAUGAAUGUGGAGGGAAAACAGCUUCCUGGAAACACUGCUGUUAGUGGUCUCAUGUGAUGGUAAUGUCAGUUAUACAUUUAGACUGAGGAUACAACGACAGCCACCCUCCGUUGCUGACAUGACAAGAGUGAUGCCUUUGGUGGACAAUGAACGCGUAAACCAAUAGAACAAAAGGGGAAAUAAGGCUGUUCAGCGACGUACAAGGAAGAGUUAACACAAUCAUUUACACAUUUCUAUGGGUAGAUUUUGGACAGGCUACUUUGAAACAUAAAGGUAGACAUGCCCCUUAAAAUGACAUAAAAUAUUGUGAACAAUUACUUCAAUGGAUGAAUAGCUUCAACAUGCUGACAGCCUCAGUUUGAAGGUGGCUGAUGUGUGCAGCGCUUUUCGAGAACUGUCCUUAAUCUCCGACCACAGAAUCUGAAUGAACCAUGAAUUCGAGUAUUUCAACAGCAAUAAGCUGUUAGAUAUGUAUCUUAACUAGCCGACAGGAUAUGUUAAAAAUAUGAUUGGCUAUCUGGAAAGUUUUACAAUAAUUACCUUUUAUUUUUAUGACAUGAAACCUUUUAUGCCAUCCCUCCCCCUGCCCGUACAUUUCAAAAGAUCACUUCUGCAUCAGAAAUUGUGACUAAUGUUAAAUAAGUGUUUUUU